GACGAACGCUGGCGGCGUGCCUAAUACAUGCCAGUCGAACGCACUCUCGUUUAGAUUGCCGGAGUUUGCUCCUGAUUGAUAAACAUUUGAGUGAGUGGCGGACGGGUGAGUAACACGUGGGUAACCUGCCCUAAAGUGGGGGAUAACAUUUGGAAACAGAUGCUAAUACCGCAUAAAACCUAACACCGCAUGGUGUAGGGUUGAAAGAUGGUUUCGGCUAUCACUUUAGGAUGGACCCGCGGUGCAUUAGUUAGUUGGUGAGGUAAAGGCUCACCAAGACCGUGAUGCAUAGCCGACCUGAGAGGGUAAUCGGCCACACUGGGACUGAGACACGGCCCAGACUCCUACGGGAGGCAGCAGUAGGGAAUCUUCCACAAUGGACGAAAGUCUGAUGGAGCAACGCCGCGUGAGUGAAGAAGGUUUUCGGAUCGUAAAACUCUGUUGUUGGAGAAGAAUGUAUCUGAUAGUAACUGAUCAGGUAGUGACGGUAUCCAACCAGAAAGCCACGGCUAACUACGUG
This 520-nucleotide ribosomal RNA is filed under the name uncultured bacterium. RNAcentral's name for it is "partial 16S ribosomal RNA". It matches the Rfam family "Bacterial small subunit ribosomal RNA", at positions 28 to 507 of the family's 1533-position model. The record is from RNAcentral.